AGUUAAAAAUUUUAUCAAUUUUUACUGUCAAAAGUUAAUGUAAACGACAAAAUAACCAGACAAAUUAUACAUGAUAUUCAUGUGUAUUUCAUGUUGAUAUACAUAAAUCAGUUUUUACCAGUAAAAAUAGAUAGAUUUUUUAACA
Molecule: non-coding RNA, 145 nt
Organism: Gossypium raimondii (Peruvian cotton)
Lineage: Eukaryota; Viridiplantae; Streptophyta; Magnoliopsida; Malvales; Malvaceae
Source: Rfam